Molecule: long non-coding RNA, 734 nt
Organism: Acipenser ruthenus (sterlet)
Lineage: Eukaryota; Metazoa; Chordata; Actinopteri; Acipenseriformes; Acipenseridae
Exons: 2
Source: RefSeq, a predicted model, not a curated record
GUAUAAGUUAUAUAAACUGCAUUUGUUAUUUUGAAAUGUUGCAGGCUGUAAGGAUACAAACAGAUUGGACAGCUUCCAAAACACAUGCCAUACGAAAUAUCUUACAAGUAUUUUGGCCCAACACCAUCUCCAAUCACAGACUACACCAGUUGUCACAACAGAAAAACAUUGACACAAUCCUAAAAAGAAGAAGGUGGAAAUGGUUAGGACACAUCUCCAGAAUGGCCAGCAACUUACCAGCAAAAACAGUGCUGACAUGGACCCCGGAGGGGAAGAGAAAAUGAGGCAGGGCCAGAACAACAUGGAGCCGAACCAUGGAAGAAAAACUCAAGGCUGCCAGGCUUACAUGGGAGCUUGAUAAUGGUGCUGAGUGAAAAGUGAGACGUUUGUGAAAUUGUAUACAGAUACGACCUUUCUCCACCUGUUUUACAUAUUGUUUAUUUGUCCACCAAACCCAUUUGGUAAAUGACAGUAUUGACUGCUAGUCAAGAAAGUCUGGUUGUUUGACAUCUCUGCAAGGCCAUAUCAAUGUUUUGCAGGGUGUACCAUAGAUCACAGACUGUACUUGUUAGAUAUUGAAAGCAUGUAAUGCUGUUCUUAACACUUUUUUGAACAAGGAUACACAUGCAGGUGUUGUUGGUGAUUAGAAAUAUGAAUGUUCUUUUGUUAAUCGCUGGUAUAGUGUAAUGUUAAUCUAAUGUUACACAUCUUGAAAAAUACAGUGGUGCCCAAAA